RNAcentral lists this unclassified non-coding RNA (531 nucleotides) under Hevea brasiliensis (rubber tree). The record is from RNAcentral. Lineage: Eukaryota; Viridiplantae; Streptophyta; Magnoliopsida; Malpighiales; Euphorbiaceae.
GGUUAUUCUCUCUACUUUGUAAACUUUUGAAUGCAAACAUCUAUAUCCAAAGUAAAGGUAUAAAACGUUUAUUCAAUAUCAUCCCAUACAAAUCUCCCUCAACCAAGAACUUGGUACUGAUCAUUCAUCACUUGAUGCAACCAGGCAUCAUCUAUCCUUCUUUUUCAUGAUGUCCCAUUUGAAAUAGGUGCUUCAGCUAGUUCCCUUAGAAAAGCAACAACGUCGUCUGGCGUACUGAGCAGAUACCGAGCGUUUGUACGAGUCCUUCCAACUGCACAAGAGAAGUAAUUCUCCUUCUUCAGAUCCAGCACAUUCCAUGACACAUUUUCAGGUGAGGGCCGUCGCCCAUUGGAAGUCUUCUUAUCCGAGUUUGAAACUGGUCUGUUCCUAUUCUGAGAUGACUUUGAGCUAGUUCGACUAGAAGGGAGUUUUGGAACUGAUCGCCUUUCCCCGGGCACCUUUGGUGCAUCACUGACCUUACUUCUUGGCAUACCGAUGCAGUCAGAAGGAAGCUCUGGCUCAAAAAAUGUA